AAGGCCUUAAGUUAAUUACACUAAACUAAUAACCUUCAAAGCUAUAAAUAAAGGAUUUCCUUUAGGCCUUG
This 71-nucleotide transfer RNA is filed under the name Syntermes spinosus. RNAcentral's name for it is "tRNA-Trp". Lineage: Eukaryota; Metazoa; Arthropoda; Insecta; Blattodea; Termitidae. The record is from RNAcentral. RNAcentral also lists the same sequence under 1 other name.